CAGUAGCCACGGUAAUACAGAGGGUGCAAGCGUUAAUCGGAAUUACUGGGCGUAAAGCGCGCGUAGGUGGUUCGCCAAGUUGGAUGUGAAAUCCCCGGGCUCAACCUGGGAACUGCAUCCAAAACUGGCGAGCUAGAGUAUGGUAGAGGGUGGUGGAAUUUCCUGUGUAGCGGUGAAAUGCGUAGAUAUAGGAAGGAACAUCAGUGGCGAAGGCGACCACCUGGACUGAUACUGACACUGAGGUGCGAAAGCGUGGGGAGCAAACAGGAUUAGAUACCCGCGUAGUCCCUGUCUCUUAUAC
RNAcentral lists this ribosomal RNA (301 nucleotides) under uncultured bacterium. RNAcentral describes it as "partial 16S ribosomal RNA". It matches the Rfam family "Bacterial small subunit ribosomal RNA", at positions 509 to 807 of the family's 1533-position model. The record is from RNAcentral.